UACGAAGGGGGCUAGCGUUGCUCGGAAUUACUGGGCGUAAAGCGCACGUAGGCGGCUCUUUAAGUCGGAGGUGAAAUCCUGGAGCUCAACUCCAGAACUGCCUUCGAUACUGAAGAGCUCGAGUCCGGGAGAGGUGAGUGGAAUUCCCAGUGUAGCGGUGAAAUGCGUAGAUAUUGGGAGGAACACCAGUGGCGAAGGCGGCUCACUGGACCGGUACUGACGCUGAUGCGCGAAAGCGUGGGGAGCAAACAGG
This 253-nucleotide ribosomal RNA is filed under the name uncultured bacterium. RNAcentral's name for it is "partial 16S ribosomal RNA". It matches the Rfam family "Bacterial small subunit ribosomal RNA", at positions 524 to 776 of the family's 1533-position model. The record is from RNAcentral.